RNAcentral lists this ribosomal RNA (440 nucleotides) under uncultured bacterium. RNAcentral describes it as "partial 16S ribosomal RNA". It matches the Rfam family "Bacterial small subunit ribosomal RNA", at positions 338 to 795 of the family's 1533-position model. The record is from RNAcentral.
CCUACGGGUGGCAGCAGUGGGGAAUAUUGGACAAUGGGGGUACCCCUGAUCCAGCGACGCCGCGUGAGUGAAGAAGUAUUUCGGUAUGUAAAGCUCUAUCAGCCGGGAAGAAAAUGACGGUACCUGACUAAGAAGCCACGGCUAACGACGGGCCAGCAGCCGCGGGAAUACGUAGGGGACAAGCGUUAUCCGGAUUUACUGGGGUUAAAGGGAGCGUAGACGGUGCAGCAAGUCUGAUGGGAAAAGUCCGGGCCCAAACCCGGGACUGCAUUUGAAACUGUUGGACUGGAGUACAGGAGAGGUAAGCGGAAUUCGUGGUGUAGCGGUGAAAUGCGUAGAUAUUAGGAGGAACACCGGUUGCGAAGGCGGCUUACUGGACUGUAACUGACGUUGAGGCACGAAAGCGUGGGGAGCAAACAGGAUUAGAUACCCGUGUAGUC